GCUCGCGUAACUCAGUGGUAGAGUAUGCGCCUUUUAAGCGCAGAGUCGUGGGUUCGAGUCCCACCGCGGGCACCU
This 75-nucleotide transfer RNA is filed under the name Chloroflexota bacterium. RNAcentral describes it as "Chloroflexi bacterium tRNA-Lys". It matches the Rfam family "tRNA". From Rfam's summary of the family: Transfer RNA (tRNA) molecules are approximately 80 nucleotides in length. Their secondary structure includes four short double-helical elements and three loops (D, anti-codon, and T loops). The record is from RNAcentral. Lineage: Bacteria; Bacillati; Chloroflexota.